Long non-coding RNA from Columba livia (rock pigeon), 870 nucleotides. RefSeq lists it as uncharacterized. The record is from RefSeq and is a predicted model, not a curated record. NCBI's taxonomy places the organism in Eukaryota, Metazoa, Chordata, Aves, Columbiformes, Columbidae. The transcript has 2 exons.
ACGAAGGACUAGGACACAGCAUAAAAGCCUGCACUGCUCCAGGCUCUGCAUCCUCCUCUCUUGCCUCCCUUUCCUCCAGGAACGAGCUUUGCCUCGCUCACCGAGAGAUGUCUUGCUUCAGACCCUGUAUCCCACCACCUUGUGGUUCCUCUGGCCCAACCCCACUUGCAAGCAGCUGCAGUGAGCCCUGUGUCGCCCGCUGUGGUGACUCGACGGUGGCCAUUGAGGCCUCUCCAGUGGUGGUGACCCUGCCGGGCCCCAUCCUCACCUCUUUCCCUCAGAACACUGUUGUGGGAUCCUCUCUGUCAGCUGCUGUUGGGAGCUCCCUCAGCACUGGGGGGGUUCCCAUCUCUUCUGGGGGCUCCCUUGGUCUGGGGGGGCCAGGGCUGUGCCUGCCUCCCCCCCGCUGCCAUCUGAACUGCUGAACCUGGUGCAUCGUCCCUUCUGGAGCAGGAAGAAUGAUGGGGACUGCACAGCAGGAGUGUGGCCAGGCCUUGCAGAUGGGCUGGGUGUCCUCAUGCCAGCUGGCAGGAGGGACCUGUGCCCACGGCUCCUGGCUGCACGUCAGGCCUCGCUGUGCCUCCUCUGGCUCUGCUUUGCUCUGAGCUCCUUGAGAAAGGGCUCGUUCUCUUCUGCUUUGCUGAACCUCCUGGUGCUGGGGGAGGGUGCUGGAGUUAGGGACUGCUCUUGCUGGGCUGGGAUUGCCAGCAGGUGGAGCAGAAUGGGGAAAGGCAAGUGCUUUGUGUUUCAAGCUUGUCCUUGGGCAAUGGGCUGUUCUCUGUGUUGCCCUGAACCCUGCAGAUGUGUUUCUUGAUCUCUGUUCUGUACCACUGCAUUUGCUCCUUCUCAUUAAAGACUUUGCGCAGCGUA